RNAcentral lists this ribosomal RNA (496 nucleotides) under uncultured bacterium. Its description in RNAcentral is "partial 16S ribosomal RNA". It matches the Rfam family "Bacterial small subunit ribosomal RNA", at positions 28 to 507 of the family's 1533-position model. The record is from RNAcentral.
GACGAACGCUGGCGGCGUGCCUAAUACAUGCAAGUUGAGCGCUGAAGGUUGGUACUUGUACCGACUGGAUGAGCAGCGAACGGGUGAGUAACGCGUGGGGAAUCUGCCUUUGAGCGGGGGACAACAUUUGGAAACGAAUGCUAAUACCGCAUAAAAACUUUAAACACAAGUUUUAAGUUUGAAAGAUGCAAUUGCAUCACUCAAAGAUGAUCCCGCGUUGUAUUAGCUAGUUGGUGAGGUAAAGGCUCACCAAGGCGAUGAUACAUAGCCGACCUGAGAGGGUGAUCGGCAACAUUGGACUGAGACACGGCCCAAACUCCUACGGGAGGCAGCAGUAGGGAAUCUUCGGCAAUGGACGAAAGUCUGACCGAGCAACGCCGCGUGAGUGAAGAAGGGUUUCGGAUCGUAAAACUCUGUUGGUAGAGAAGAACGUUGGUGAGAGUGGAAAGCUCAUCAAGUGACGGUAACUACCCAGAAAGGGACGGCUAACUACGUG